Molecule: ribosomal RNA, 301 nt
Filed under: uncultured bacterium
Lineage: Bacteria
Description: partial 16S ribosomal RNA
Rfam family: Bacterial small subunit ribosomal RNA
Source: RNAcentral
CAGUCGCCGCGGUAAUACGUAGGGCGCAAGCGUUGUUCGGAAUUAUUGGGCGUAAAGAGCUCGUAGGCGGUCUGUCGCGUCUGGUGUGAAAUCCCGAGGCUCAACCUCGGGCUUGCAUCGGGUACGGGCAGACUAGAGUGCGGUAGGGGAGACUGGAAUUCCUGGUGUAGCGGUGGAAUGCGCAGAUAUCAGGAGGAACACCGAUGGCGAAGGCAGGUCUCUGGGCCGCAACUGACGCUGAGGAGCGAAAGCAUGGGGAGCGAACAGGAUUAGAUACCCCAGUAGUCCCUGUCUCUUAUAC